AUAGACGGGUUAGACUGAGAACAGUACAGGAGGUCCACACUCAGAGGGACAUUAAUACAGAACACUCAAGAGAUGACCUGGUUAGUGCUGGUUACCAGGUAAACUCUGGAGGUUAGUGUUGGUUACCAGGUAAACUCGGGAGGUUAGUGCUGGUUACCAGGUAAACUCUGCAGGUUAGUGUUGGUUACCAGGUAAACUCUGCAGGUUAGUGUUGGUUACCAGGUAAACUCGGGAGGUUAGUGUUGGUUACCAGGUAAACUCGGGAGGUUAGUGCUGGUUACCAGGUAAACUCUGCAGGUUAGUGCUGGUUACCAGGUAAACUCUGCAGGUUAGUGUUGGUUACCAGGUAAACUCUGGAGGUUAGUGCUGGUUAUCAGGUAAACUCUGGAGGUUAGUGCUGGUUACCAGGU
Molecule: long non-coding RNA, 410 nt
Organism: Acanthochromis polyacanthus (spiny chromis)
Lineage: Eukaryota; Metazoa; Chordata; Actinopteri; Pomacentridae
Exons: 3
Source: RefSeq, a predicted model, not a curated record